AACGAACGUUGGCGGCGUGGAUUAGGCAUGCAAGUCGAGGGAAUCCCAGCAAUGGGGGAACCGGCGUAAGGGGCAGUAAUGUAUGGGUACCUACCCUGGAGUUCGGAAUAGCCAUCAGAGAUGGUGGGUAAUACCGGAUGAUGUCGUGAGACCAAAGAUUUAUCGCUUUGGGAGGGGCCCAUAUGAUAUUAGCUAGUUGGUGAGGUAACGGCUCACCAAGGCUAAGAUGUCUAGCGGGUGUGAGAGCACGACCCGCGCCACUCGCACUGAGACACUGGCGAGACACCUACGGGUGGCUGCAGUCGAGGAUCUUCGGCAAUGAGCGCAAGCUUGACCGAGCGACGCCGCGUGAGCGAUGAAGGCCUCCGGGUUGUAAAGCUCUUUAGGGGGGGAGAAAAGCCGAAAGGUGUGAUCUAUCCCCAAAAUAAGCACGGGCUAAGUUCGUGCCAGCAGCCGCAGUAAGAC
This 465-nucleotide ribosomal RNA is filed under the name uncultured bacterium. Its description in RNAcentral is "bacterial SSU rRNA". It matches the Rfam family "Bacterial small subunit ribosomal RNA", at positions 29 to 526 of the family's 1533-position model. The record is from RNAcentral.